This 616-nucleotide long non-coding RNA is filed under the name Phoenix dactylifera (date palm). RNAcentral's name for it is "long non-coding RNA (PDAC_LNC009687)". Lineage: Eukaryota; Viridiplantae; Streptophyta; Magnoliopsida; Arecales; Arecaceae. The record is from RNAcentral.
UUGAGAUAUGAGAGACAAAUAAUUAAAGGGAUUUUAUUGUUUUUGAGAUUAAAAUAGAGCAAUUGGAUUAUGUGGAAGAAGAAUUGGAACGAGUGGAAAGAAAUUUAGGUGACUGAAUCAGAGGGUCUUGAUUUGCGGGGUGCAUGCGAUUUGGGUUCAGAGAUCAUCCUAAAUCAAUUUGACUUGAUCUGCAUCCAUUAGACUCAACCAUUAAAUAAUUAAAUCAGCUCGAAUUACCUCUGAUAAUUAUUAAAAUGCAAUGAUGAUGGUAACACAUAUUUUAUGGUUAAAUUUACGAAAUAUGCAAAUUAAAAUAAUGAUAAGUGCUAUGAAUAAAAGGUUAAUUUAUGCAUUAUUUAGUACUUAUCAGGCCGCAUGGGGAAAGAAGGAAGAAGAGAUGAAGAAUCACAAUUACAAACUAGGGUUUUCAUGGAGAAGAAGAGGAAGAGAAGAGAGAACGUGGAAGAAAGUUUUCUGGCGGCUCCUUUAUUGCUCAAGCAAUAAUCCAAGUGAUAGCCCUAAAACUGAUUACAUCAAGCCUUUAUAUAGGCUCUCAAUUUUAGUCUAAUCAUACACCAACUCAAUUUCUCCCUAAGCCACAUUAGAAAGCACUCAA